Molecule: ribosomal RNA, 789 nt
Filed under: uncultured bacterium
Lineage: Bacteria
Description: bacterial SSU rRNA
Rfam family: Bacterial small subunit ribosomal RNA
Source: RNAcentral
AGAGUUUGAUCAUGGCUCAGGAUGAACGCUAGCGGCAGGCCUAAUACAUGCAAGUCGAACGGUAAAUACUGUAGCAAUAUGGUAUGAGAGUGACGCACGGGUGCGUAACACGUAUGCAACCUACCCAAGACAGGAGGAUAGCUCAGGGAAACUUGGAUUAACCCUCCAUAAGAUCGUAUAGAGGCAUCUUUAAGCGAUAAAAACGUAAGUGGUUUUGGAUGGGCAUGCGCAUGAUUAGUUAGUUGGUAGUGUAACGGACUACCAAGACGAUGAUCAUUAGGGGACCUGAGAGGGUGAUCCCCCACACUGGCACUGAGAUACGGGCCAGACUCCUACGGGAGGCAGCAGUAGGGAAUAUUGGUCAAUGGAUGCAAGUCUGAACCAGCCAUGCCGCGUGCAGGAAGACGGCCUUCUGGGUUGUAAACUGCUUUUGCCAGGGGAUAAAAGAGCCUUGCGAGGCGAAUUGAAGGUACCUGGUGAAUAAGCCACGGCUAACUACGUGCCAGCAGCCGCGGUAAUACGUAGGUGGCGAGCGUUGUCCGGAUUUAUUGGGUUUAAAGGGUGCGUAGGCGGCCCCGUAAGUCAGUGCUGAAAUACCCCGGCUUAACCGGGGGGGUGGCAUUGAUACUGCUGGGCUUGAGUACAGAUGAGGUAGGCGGAAUUGACGGUAGCGGUGAAAUGCAUAGAUAUCGUCAAGAACACCGAUAGCGAAGGCAGCUUACUAAGUUGUAACUGACGCUGAUGCACGAAAGUGUGGGGAUCAAACAGGAUUAGAUACCCUAGUAGUCC